AGUGAACGCUGGCGGUAGGCCUAACACAUGCAAGUCGAACGGCAGCACAGUAAGAGCUUGCUCUUACGGGUGGCGAGUGGCGGACGGGUGAGGAAUACAUCGGAAUCUACUUUUUCGUGGGGGAUAACGUAGGGAAACGUACGCUAAUACCGCAUAGUACCUACGGGUGAAAGCAGGGGAUCUUCGGACCUUGCGCGAUUGAAUGAGCCGAUGUCGGAUUAGCUAGUUGGCGGGGUAAAGGCCCACCAAGGCGACGAUCCGUAGCUGGUCUGAGAGGAUGAUCAGCCACACUGGAACUGAGACACGGUCCAGACUCCUACGGGAGGCAGCAGUGGGGAAUAUUGGACAAUGGGCGCAAGCCUGAUCCAGCCCUACCGCGUGGGUGAAGAAGGCCUUCGGGUUGUAAAGCCCUUUUGUUGGGAAAGAAAAGCAGCAGGUUAAUACCCCGCUGUUCUGACGGUACCCAAAGAAUAAGCACCGGCUAACUUCGUG
This 492-nucleotide ribosomal RNA is filed under the name uncultured bacterium. RNAcentral's name for it is "partial 16S ribosomal RNA". It matches the Rfam family "Bacterial small subunit ribosomal RNA", at positions 29 to 507 of the family's 1533-position model. The record is from RNAcentral.